UCAGUGUUGCAGGUGUCACACCCGCUUCCAAAGGGCAGAGCCGGGUGCAUCGCAUAUGUGUGCCAGGAUCUAUUUCCACACAUAUGUUGACGUCACAAGUGUAAUAUAUCAAAAGAACAAUGCAUAAGAGCGUAAAUAACGAUUAUAUUAACAUAUUACACUUCAAACAGACAUAAUGUCUUAACCUUUAUUCAUCAAAGUACAGCGAACAUGGACAUCCAUCCACAGGAAGAUGAUCGGGGGUAUCACUAGACUAGCAUCCAUGGAGUUCAACAUCAUAUCUUCAUUUGCAACUUCUGAUCAAAAUUAAGCAAGGGUGAGCUCACUUAUGGUCGGGGCUCAGCAAGUGGGGGAAAAACUAAUGCAAGUCUAACAAGGUGAGGCUGAGGUUGAGCAGUAAGCAUUUUAGUUGGUCAACAUUUUAUUAACGACAUAUGUCUUACUAAUAAGUGUGAAUCCCAAGUAUUCCCAUUAAACAAAGGUAUAAGAAUAUUUCAAAAACACUUAAGUGAAACCACUUAAGCAAACCAUUGGCAGAUCAUCGGAUCUCGAUUUAUUUCCAUCUUCAAGUUCAAUUAUCAUGUGAGGAGUCCAGGCUGCUCAUAACCGUGAGCACGGCUGAUAUAUCAGUUUUACACUCUGCAGAGGUGGCGCAUCUUUACCCAUGAGUCGCGAUUCCCUUCUAGCCCGGGUUAGCUAGACCCGUAUUCACUUCCGAGGUGAAUGGCCAGGGUCUCACUACGAGGCUUCUCCCUAGAGUCCUCAUUACGCAAAUGCUGGAAAUGGUCAAACUGCAUAAGGCACACCUACUGUAACCAACUUAUAGUCCAGACUACAGGGUAAAGCUUUGGGAACUAUGCCCGUAUCCAAUCUGCCUGAGCCGGAACUAUAAGAGCUUGCCAGAUGCCCCCGUUCCUGUCAACCACGACCAGCACCCAACAUAAGACUUCCCUAGUUAUUUAGCCAAGACCAGAGCCAUGAUAGUUCUCAUGGUAGCACUGUUUUCCCGGGUGGUCACUCCAUGUUCCAAUUAAUAUGCAAUAAUCUUGUUUAACCAUCGGGUUAACAACAAUAAUGUAAACUUACCAUUUGGAACAUUAGUAUCAUAUAGGAGUGACUGCAUAAAGUUAAGUUGUAGCAAUAGCAUAGCUACGGAGGUAAAGUAUAAUUCCCAGGUUUGAUCAAGGAAUAAGGUUGGAAAGGUUAUCUAAAUAGGUAACCCGUCAAAUUAUGCAUAUAUAUCCAAAAGAAUAAACUUUAUUAAAUGUAUUGUUUGGGAUCAAACAGAGUAUGCAGAGGGAGAAGUCCACUUGCCUUGCUUAUUGAAAACUUGAGGUUCUUCCACGGAUAGGAAUAGACCUUGAUUCUUAACUACUAGAUCAACCACUGAAUAUCACACAAACAAACAAGAAGAACAAACACCACUCAAUAACAUACCACAUUCACCAUACGUAAAGCUAAAAGAAAACCUAACGAAAAGAGUGUUCACUUUUCAAAAACAUUACAUGCAAGGGUUAUAAUAAAAAGGUAUUUUUUCAAAAAUGUGUGAUCUAUACUUUAUAAAAUCAUGACAUGAGCUUAAAAAUAUCUUAAUUAAAAUAUACAAAUAUUAGGUUCAUCAAAUUAAUCUUUUAUAAAACGUCAUAUGUGAUAUGUCUAAGAUUAAGGUGAUAACACACGUUAUAACAAUAUUAAACCUUUUUAACCUUUUAGAAAAGAUAUAUGUUAUAUAUCUAAGGUUAAUGCGUUAUGAAAUACAUUAUAAAUUUUAGAAGCAUUAUGGAAACAUUUACUUAUGAUAAACUAAGAUAUAAGUCUAAAUAUAUUUUAUGUGAAAAGAUCAUUAUUAUUAAAUACCUAUUUUAUGAAAAGUUAGGUUAUAGGCCUUUAAGUGGAUUGUCAUGCAAAAGAUAAUGAACAAAUAACCAUCUUUUAUUUUUAUUAGAAGGUACACGUCCUAUAUUCUUUGUUAAGAAAGCUAUAUACAAAACAAAUAUGUAAAUUAACAUUUUAAUUAUAAAAAGGACAUGAACACUAAUUUUCUUUAUUUUAUCCUUUAAGAAAAGCUAAGUGAUUCGUAUAUAACGUGGACUAAAUUUGAUGAAAAGAAUAAUUAAACCUAUAUUACUAGUUAUGAACAAAUUGCAUAUAGGUUUAAUUAAUAAAUUAAAAAAAUAAUUAAUCUACUAUUUGUCUUUAGUUUUAAUUUGAGAACUAAUGAUCUCAUUAAUAAAUAAGGAAAUUGUAUUCAACAUUAUAUAUAAACUAUGAUUUUAGUUUACGAAAGCAAGAACACUAAUUAAUACAUUUUAACACUGAACUUUUUAAAAAAACUCUAUAUUACUUUUAAACAUUAUGACACAUGAUACAUCAUCAUUUGUAAAAAACUUGAAUAUAAGGCUAAAUCAAGUUUUAUGGGAAAUAUAAUUAGACAAUAUUUAACUUUUAUUUUUAUUAAGAAACAUAUGGUCUAAUUUUAAUUUUUAUUAAAAAUCUAUACUUUAGCAACUAUACGAAUCAUAAUUCAAUCUAAAUAUGAAAACUAUUAAGAAAACUAUUUAAACAUAUUUAAUGCAUAAUUAUGAAACUAACAAAAACCAUUUUUAUUUUAUUUAGAUUUCUUAUAUGUAUUUUAUUACAAGAAUUAUUGUAGGGACAAAAAUAAAAUUAACAGUAGACGUGGGACUUAGCUUUGCAAAAUUUGCGUUGUCUUCUACCUUCGUUCUUGCUGACAGCUGAGGAGCAGAGUACGCCAGAGCAGAACACGGGGCAAACUAGCUUCGAUGGCGUGGUCCUCACGGUGCUGGCGCUGGGUUCGGACGACUGUACGACGUCGACAGCACGACAAGGCUGAGCAUUGACAUCAACGAACGCGAACACGAUGAGCAAGGUCGGACGACGCAGGGACGAUGGUGGUGGUACUUGAUGUCGGCACGGCAACUACGUUGAGCGGGCGCGGCAAUCGACGAGCUAGCAGAGAACUCGGCAACGAGGUAGCAGCAAGCAGAGCGGAGGUUCUCCGGUGGCACGGGCUGGCGAGACGCUAGUGCUCAGUGACACGGCGUCGCGGUGCUGGUGCGCAGCAACGCUGCGUGCAGCAAGGCUCCCACGCUGGCAGCAAUAGCACGACGCGGUGAAUAAGCAGAGGCUAGCAGGGAAUGAGCAUAGGGAGAGCUCCCUGCUGAUUUUAUAGGCCGAGAACGGGGAGACGAGCAGUCAGCGGCCGACAACUACCAUUGAUGGCGAGCAGCAACCGAGAAGAGGAGAGGGAAAGACGUAUGGCGUAGUGGGGAAGCAGAGGAAGCGCCGCGGCGUUACGAGACUGCUCCAUUGUUGUAGUGUGGGCGCGGGGAGAGACUAGA
Molecule: long non-coding RNA, 3362 nt
Filed under: Zea mays
Lineage: Eukaryota; Viridiplantae; Streptophyta; Magnoliopsida; Poales; Poaceae
Description: long non-coding RNA (ZMAY_LNC004018)
Source: RNAcentral